Molecule: transfer RNA, 84 nt
Filed under: Deltaproteobacteria bacterium
Lineage: Bacteria; Pseudomonadati; Myxococcota; Myxococcia
Description: tRNA-Leu
Rfam family: tRNA
About the family: Transfer RNA (tRNA) molecules are approximately 80 nucleotides in length.
Source: RNAcentral
GCCUGGAUGGUGAAACUGGCAGACGCGCAGGACUUAAAAUCCUGUGACCGAAAGGUCGUGCGGGUUCGAGUCCCGCUCCAGGCA